This 20-nucleotide small nuclear RNA is filed under the name Arabidopsis thaliana (thale cress). RNAcentral describes it as "snRNA_08373". The record is from RNAcentral. Lineage: Eukaryota; Viridiplantae; Streptophyta; Magnoliopsida; Brassicales; Brassicaceae.
UAAUGUAAGGGCCUGGUCUA